ACAAACUUGGUCAUUUAGAGGAAGUAAAAGUCGUAACAAGGUUUCCGUAGGUGAACCUGCGGAAGGAUCAUUCACAAUAAGUGUUUUAUGGCACUUUUUAAAUCCAUAUCCACCUUGUGUGCAAUGUUAAUCGCUAAGUUGGCUAGUAAUAGUUUGCUUAGCGGUCUUUAUAUCAACUUAUUAUUUUUAACGUUUUUGUCUGAAUAAACAUUGUGAAUUUAAACUUAAUUCAACAAUAUAACUUUCAACAACGGAUCUCUUGGCUCUCGCAUCGAUGAAGAACGCAGC
Molecule: unclassified non-coding RNA, 288 nt
Filed under: uncultured fungus
Lineage: Eukaryota; Fungi
Description: partial contains small subunit ribosomal RNA, internal transcribed spacer 1, and 5.8S ribosomal RNA
Rfam family: Eukaryotic small subunit ribosomal RNA (bases 1-73)
Source: RNAcentral